This is a long non-coding RNA of Sphaerodactylus townsendi, 2398 nucleotides long. RefSeq lists it as uncharacterized. The record is from RefSeq and is a predicted model, not a curated record. The transcript is spliced from 4 exons. Lineage: Eukaryota; Metazoa; Chordata; Lepidosauria; Squamata; Sphaerodactylidae.
GUUUUUGAAGUGCGCGUGGAAGGAAGAAACUUCUGCCCGAGUUGUAAAGGCUGGCUCGAGGCCUCUGCGCUCCAUUCCAGCGAGGGUUCCUCCCUAUCUUUUCCUCCUCCUCCUCCAGCCUCAGUCCCCUUCUUGUCCCAGUGAACGUUUUAUAGCGGUUUUCUUUGCAGGGAUGCCUAUUCCGUCUAGCUCUAGUUCUGCUCCGCUAGUUAGACCAAAGCUGCCUGAGUUUCAGGUCUUUUAUGGGGGGUGGGAUGGGAUGGGAUGGGAUGAUUAACCAUCGUUGCAUGCUGGAAAACACCUUCUCUGCGGAAACUCUUCGCCUUGGCUAGUGUGUCGUGCAGUACAGUUCUAUUCACGAUUACUUAAGAGUAGAUGUAGCUCAAGCGAUGAAAAAAAUGAAUUGGAGAGAUGGUGAGAAGGCCUUCAAUCAGAAUUGUAGCAGUCAUAUCAGGUGAAACUUGCCCCCUCUUGAAAGAUAUUCUUAAGGCAGAGAACAAAAUUAGAAGACUACAGAGCUGCUGACGUCAGAAGUGUGAAUUGCUUGAUACCAGUGUGUCAAGCCUGAACACAGUAAAUGAAGGUUAAUGAGCUGUUCACAGUGGUGGUUUCUGUGUUCAGGUGAGGAGAUUAAAUGCAUGCUUCUUUAUUGCUGACCUGGACCUUUACCUCAUAGGCCUAGACCUGCUUGAGCUGUGCACUUUGUAACAUCAUGGGUAGCCUAUCAAUUUUGGUUACUUUUGUUUGUGGAGUGCUAAACUAAACGGCCACCUUGGCACAGGGAGCCCUUGUGUGCAGUCUUGGAACUCUUCUGUAAAGGUAGCCAACAUCACUCUUUCAGAGCUGUUCAUUCUAGCUGACCCAAGAGCAUUGCCCAAUUUCUACAUGAGGUGCAUGAGCACAGUCUUAGAUCUUGGUCCCUCCCAGUCAGGAGCUGAGCCAGGUCAGUGGUUCAUAUGGAUACACCUCAGAAGAUGAAUAAUUCUUGUUUAUGUACAGUGCAUGUAUUUUGACUUUAAUGAAGGCCAUGUGCAAUUUUAAUUUUAAAAAGUGGACCUUUUACUAGGGUUUGGGAAGUACUGGCUUUAUGUGUAGUGUUUGUGUUGUCUUCUGCUCAUCCCAAUGACCCUUUUUGUUUAUUGCUUCGCAGGCAAAUACAGAUGGAAGAGCACUGUUCUAGUGUUGCAAAAUACUGUGCACUGGGAUUGCACCAACUUUAUGUAACUGUGUUGCAAUUCUUAUUUGCUUUAGCAAAGCCAGUCUGUGUGGAAACAAAAUGUAUAGACUAAAUUUAAAGGAGGAUUACACAGUGUCAACUUGGGAGACUCCAGGUGGUAGAGAAUGUUGCAGUUUUGUUAUUAUCAGAAACUGUGCUAAUCAUGUAUAUCAUUCACAUACUGAAAAAAAAACCGAGGUGACUUUGGUUGGGAAGGCAGAGAUUUUUAGCAACACUCUGCUUUUGAUGGGAGUUCAUCUGUCUCGGUUAAGAGCCUUGGGAUUAUACUGGACCCAGUGUUAUUGCUGCAGAAUGCAGCUGUAAAAAAAAGCUUUCUUCCAACUCAGCCUAGUCGAUGAGAUGGCCCCUUGUGUAUGGGUGAUCUGGCCACCUGGAUUCAUGCCUCAGUGACAGCCAGACUAAGCUAUUAUAGUGCACUGUACACUGGUCCGCCCUCAAAAUCAAUUCAGAAACUGCAGUUGGUGCAGAAUAUUUUAGCUCAAGUUAGAUGGAGCAUGUCUGUUACUCCCGUUCUACAGUCACUCACAUGGUUGCCCAUCAGCUUAGUUUAAGGAACUGCCUAUUACAUGCAAAGCCCUCCAUAGCCCUGGAUCUUCAUUUUUGCUAAACCACCUCUCCUGCUGUGCAUUACCACUUCAGCUUUACUCAUUUGAAUAAGGUCUUCUGUAGGUGCCACCCUGCAAAUGGGCAAAAUCAACAACUGUUCGUAGCUUCUCUGCAGUAGCCCCACCUUAUAGAACAACCCAUCUGAGGAGGUCAGGAAGGCUCCUGCUCGGGUAGCUUUCCACAAACUGCAAACCUGAAUUAUUCACGACAGCUUCUCUAUGCAGGCUUACAAGGUUACACUGUACUAAUAUUUUUACAAAGUUUCUUAGAUAAGUUAUCAGUGGUUGUGGUCUGAUCUACUCUAUUUAGCUUACUGAAACUAGCAUCCUACUAUGCAAUUUUUGUAUCAUUUAAUACGUUGUGUUAAGAAAUGCUUAAGUUUUGCCUCAGGUGUUUUUUUAGAUUUCUGAUUGGUUCUACAACCAUUUUUAUUGAAUACCCCACCCUGUUUGUUGUAUUGACUCUCUGUGUAAUCUGCCUUGACUCCAAGUUAGAAAGGUGGCCUGUAGAUAAUGUAAAUAAAAUAAAUGCUCCACUAGAGGGGGCGAAAGUACA